GCGCAAGAUUAGGUUGUUGGUUAAUUUAAUAGCUUUACCAAGCCUACGAUCUUUAGUUGGUCUUAGAGGAUGAACAACCACACUGGAACUGAAAUAAGGUCCAGGCUGAUUUUUCGGCCAGCAGUAAGGAAUAUUGGACAAUGAACGAAAGUUUGAUCCAGCAAUACUAUCAUGAAUUAAGACGACUCUAUAGUAGUUGAAAGAUUCUUUUGUGUUAAAUGAUAAUGACGUUAUGAUACACAAAAGUCCCGGCUAAUACUCGUGCCAGCAGCCGCGGUAAAACGAGGGGGGCGAGCGUUAUUCAUCAUGACUGGGCGUAAAGGGUUCGUAGACUGCUAAGUAAGUUUUAUGUUAAAAAUUGAAGAUUAAUCUCUAAUAAAAGCAUAAAAGACUGCUUUGCUUGAGUUUUUUACGGGAGAAUAUAAUUUUAUUUGUAAGGGUAGAAUCUAACGAUCAAUAAAGGAAUGUUCGAAGCGAAGGCGAUUCUCUAGUAAAAACUGACGUUGAGGAACGAAAGUGUAGGUAGCAAACAGGAUUAGAGACCCUGGUAGUCUACACUGUAAAUCAUGAAUGUUGUAAUUUAAUGGCAAUUUUCAAUAUUGCUUUAGAUUUUUAAGCUAACGCGAUAAACAUUCCGCCUGAGGAGUACGGUCGCAAGGUUGGAACUCAAAGGAAUUGACGGGGGCCUAACACUAGUGGUGGGGUAUGUGGUUUAAUGCGAUAAUCCACGCAAAAUCUUACCAAUCUUUGACAU
This 754-nucleotide ribosomal RNA is filed under the name uncultured organism. RNAcentral describes it as "bacterial SSU rRNA". It matches the Rfam family "Bacterial small subunit ribosomal RNA", at positions 233 to 987 of the family's 1533-position model. The record is from RNAcentral.